Non-coding RNA from Oryza glaberrima (African rice), 204 nucleotides. Lineage: Eukaryota; Viridiplantae; Streptophyta; Magnoliopsida; Poales; Poaceae. The record is from Rfam.
AAUAAGCACCGUCCUAAGUUUCUGUGUCCAAAUUUGAUCGUCCGUCUUAUUUUAAUUUUUUUAUGAUUAGUACUUUUAUCGUUAUUAGAUUAUAAAACAUAAAUUGUACUUUAUGCGUGACAUAUAUUUUUUUAGCUUUUUUUUUAAAAAAUAAAGAAGACGGACGAUUAAAGUUAGACACGAAAACUCACAGGUACGUUUAUU